AAAAGAGCCCUACCAAACGUAAUGAAUUUGAAGAGCACUACCUAAGUCUCUCAAAAUUUUCUCCAUCUUUGCCCCCAAAAUUUUUUCCCUCUCACUCUUUCCCUCUCACAAAAUUUCCCCAAUUUUUUUUUUCCCUCUCACUCUUUCACUUAGGGAUUUCAUGAGCUCUCUCCCUCUCAUUCUCACUUUCCCUCUCACAAUACUCUCUCUUUCUCCCCUCACUCAUCUUUGAUCUCUCCAUCAGACCCAUCAGCCAACGCCAUCCACUACGCAGCCACCCUCUGCCACCACUGCCAUCAUCGUCCUCCACUCUCUUUGAAUCGGCUCCCACCUACUGCGCUAUCCACCACAAGUCUGAACAAGCUUGGCUAUGGUUGGCAGUGGAGCAUAUCUUGUGUACAAAUAUAGAUUACGGCAAUACAUGGAUUCUGAAAUUAGAGCUAUAAUGGCACAGUAUAUGCCUCUAGACAGUCAAGCUGAAAUACCAAACCAUGUCAAUGACGAACAAGCAUGAAAAGCAAAAUUUCACCCUUCAGUUUUUUUAAGGAUUUCAGGGCUAAUAUGGGAGUGCACUACUGAAUAAGCUUUCAAUCAAUGGGUACCUACUUAUGGUCAAAAUAUUGCAUGCCUUGGGCUAUAGAAGAUAUUGAGGGGAGAUAUAUUUCAUUGCAACAAGUUUUAGCUUGGUGGCAUAUUUUCAUGAGGAAUUUGUUAUCAUUUGACUAGUAUUUGAGUGAAUAGAUUGGAACUUAUAUUAUGUAUAUGAUAUUGAACUUGGAUAUUAUUUUCCCUUAUUGGUAGUUAUUGAUUGAGCAGUUGUUAUGCUUA
Long non-coding RNA from Quercus robur (English oak), 828 nucleotides. RefSeq lists it as uncharacterized. The record is from RefSeq and is a predicted model, not a curated record. The transcript is spliced from 5 exons. Lineage: Eukaryota; Viridiplantae; Streptophyta; Magnoliopsida; Fagales; Fagaceae.